CAAUAGCGUAUAUUAAAGUUGUUGCAGUUAAAAAGCUCGUAGUUGGAUUUCUGGUGGGAGCACGGGUCGGCCCUCACGGGUUGUACUGUUGUUGCGUCCCGCCGUUUCGGUGUGCACUGGCAGGCGGCAUCUUUCUGUCGAGGACGCGCUCCUGGUCUUUAUUUGAUCGGGACGCGGAGUCGGCGCAGUUACUUUGAAAAAUUAGAGUGUUCAAAGCGGGCCUACGCUUGAAUAUAUUAGCAUGGAAUAACACCAUAGGACUCCUGUCCUAUUCUGUUGGUCUUCGGGAUGGGAGUAAUGAUUAAGAGGAACAGUUGGGGGCAUUCGUAUUUCAUUGUCAGAGGUGAAAUUCUUGGAUUUAUGAAAGACGAACUUCUGCGAAAGCAUUUGCCAAGGAUGUUUUCAUUAAUCAAGAACGAAAGUUGGGGGCUCGAAGACGAUUAGAUACCGU
Molecule: ribosomal RNA, 451 nt
Filed under: uncultured eukaryote
Lineage: Eukaryota
Description: bacterial SSU rRNA
Rfam family: Eukaryotic small subunit ribosomal RNA
Source: RNAcentral